UGGGGAAUUUUGGACAAUGGGCGAAAGCCUGAUCCAGCAAUGCCGCGUGUGUGAAGAAGGCCUUCGGGUUGUAAAGCACUUUUGUCCGGAAAGAAAUCCUUGGCUCUAAUACAGUCGGGGGAUGACGGUACCGGAAGAAUAAGCACCGGCUAACUACGUGCCAGCAGCCGCGGUAAUACGUAGGGUGCAAGCGUUAAUCGGAAUUACUGGGCGUAAAGCGUGCGCAGGCGGUUUGCUAAGACCGAUGUGAAAUCCCCGGGCUCAACCUGGGAACUGCAUUGGUGACUGGCAGGCUAGAGUAUGGCAGAGGGGGGUAGAAUUCCACGUGUAGCAGUGAAAUGCGUAGAGAUGUGGAGGAAUACCGAUGGCGAAGGCAGCCCCCUGGGCCAAUACUGACGCUCAUGCACGAAAGCGUGGGGAGCAAACAGGAUUAGAUACCCUGGGUAGUCCACGCCCUAAACGAUGUCAACUAGUUGUUGGGGAUUCAUUUCCUUAGUAACGUAGCUAACGCGUGAAGUUGACCGCCUGGGGAGUACGGUCGCAAGAUUAAAACUUAAAUGAAUUGACGGGGUCAUAGCUGUUUCUU
This 586-nucleotide ribosomal RNA is filed under the name uncultured bacterium. RNAcentral's name for it is "partial 16S ribosomal RNA". It matches the Rfam family "Bacterial small subunit ribosomal RNA", at positions 355 to 938 of the family's 1533-position model. The record is from RNAcentral.